UACACUAAAUGGGUAAUAAUUGUACAAUAAUUAUACGACUUCUAAAAAAAUGACGAAAUUUUAUUUUAAAAAGACGUUUUAGGAUAAGGACGGGUGCAGCUACUCUUAUAGAUAAUUUAAUGUAUACUUGUAAGCAAAGAUAAACCAUUGCCUACGAAAAAACUAUUCUGAGGAGAGUUAAGUUGAUAGUUAUGCAUUGUUACAUAUACAAUAAUUAAAUAGGUAUUAUGUAUAUU
Non-coding RNA from Cinara cedri, 236 nucleotides. Lineage: Eukaryota; Metazoa; Arthropoda; Insecta; Hemiptera; Aphididae. The record is from the annotation of a GenBank genome assembly.